Molecule: long non-coding RNA, 212 nt
Filed under: Musa acuminata (dwarf banana)
Lineage: Eukaryota; Viridiplantae; Streptophyta; Magnoliopsida; Zingiberales; Musaceae
Description: long non-coding RNA (MACU_LNC002619)
Source: RNAcentral
UUUUUCAGUAAUUUAUAUUUUCUACUAAUUGUUUUACAUUCAUCAAAUAAGUCAUGGAAGGCAUUUAAUAAUUCAUCAAAUGAUAAAUCUGCAUCAAUUAAAUUUAUUACCUCUUCUCCGAUGGCCAUUAAGGCGUAAUGAGCAACUUACUCGGUGUUGGACUCCUCUUCUUCGGACGCGCUCGAGUCAUCCCACGUUGCUUUGAGCGCCUU